AAGGUUUCCAGGGGAAGGUUCGUCCGCCCUGGGUUAGUCGGGACCUAAGCUGAGGCCGAAAGGCGUAGGUGAUGGACAACAGGUUGAUAUUCCUGUACUACCGAUAACCGUUUGAGAGAAGGGAUGACACAGUAGGAUAAGCUAAGCACACUGUUGGUUAUGUGUGCCCAAGCAUUGAGGCGGUCAAAGUAGGCAAAUCCGCUUUGAUAAUGCUGGGAUGUGAUGGGGAGCGAAAUUUAGUAGCGAAGUAGCUGAUUUCACACUGUCAAGAAAAGUCUCUAUCGAGGUUAAAGGUACCCGUACCGCAAACCGACACAGGUGGGUGAGGAGAGUAUCCUAAGGCCAGCGAGAGAACUG
Molecule: ribosomal RNA, 357 nt
Filed under: Clostridioides difficile
Lineage: Bacteria; Bacillati; Bacillota; Clostridia; Peptostreptococcales; Peptostreptococcaceae
Description: partial 23S ribosomal RNA
Rfam family: Bacterial large subunit ribosomal RNA
Source: RNAcentral